GACGAACGCUGGCGGCGUGCUUAACACAUGCAAGUCGAACGGAAAGGCCCUUCUUUGGUGGUGUGCUCGAGGGGCGAACGGGUGUGUAACACGAGAAUAACCUGCCCGUGACUGUGGUAUAACUUCAGGAAACUGGGGCUUAUAGCGUAUAGGAGCUCCUGGUGCGUGGGGGGGGGUGGAGAGUUGGGGGGGUUGGGGAUGGACGCGCGGCUUAUGAGCUUGUUGGUGGGGGAGUGGCUUACCAUGGCUUUGACGGGGAGCCGGCCUGGGAGGGUGACCGGCAACAUUGGGACUGAGUUACGGCCCAGACUCCUACGGGAGGAAGAAGUGGGGAAUAUUGAACAAUGGGCGGAAGCCUGAUCCAGCACCGCGGCGUGCGGGAUGCCGGCCUUCGGUUUGUAACCCGCUUUCGCCUGUGACGAAGCGUGAGUGACGGUAGUGGGUAAAGAAGCACCGGCUAACUACGUG
This 468-nucleotide ribosomal RNA is filed under the name uncultured bacterium. RNAcentral describes it as "partial 16S ribosomal RNA". It matches the Rfam family "Bacterial small subunit ribosomal RNA", at positions 28 to 507 of the family's 1533-position model. The record is from RNAcentral.